Molecule: ribosomal RNA, 209 nt
Filed under: uncultured bacterium
Lineage: Bacteria
Description: partial 16S ribosomal RNA
Source: RNAcentral
GACGAACGCUGGCGGCGUGCUUAACACAUGCAAGUUGAGGGCACUUGCUCAGCAAUGGUCAAGUGACCGGCGAACGGGUGCGUAACACGUGAGCGACCUUGCCCUCGUGGUGGGGGAGUAGCCGGCCCCGAACCGGACCGGGGUAACGUACCGCCAUAGGGUGGGUCUUUUCGUCAUGGAGGAGACUAGCAAAGACCCUCGGAGGCAAU